GGAGGAUCCGAGCGUUAUCCGGAUUUAUUGGGUUUAAAGGGAGCGUAGAUGGAUGUUUAAGUCAGUUGUGAAAGUUUGCGGCUCAACCGUAAAAUUGCAGUUGAUACUGGAUAUCUUGAGUGCAGUUGAGGCAGGCGGAAUUCGUGGUGUAGCGGUGAAAUGCUUAGAUAUCACGAAGAACUCCGAUUGCGAGGGCAGCUUACUGGAUUGUAACUGACACUGAUGCUCGAAAGUGCGGGUAUCGAACAGGAUUAGAUACCCUGGUAGUCCGCACGGUAAACGAUGGAUGCCCGCUGUUGGUCUGAACAGGUCAGCGGCCAAGCGAAAGCAUUAAGCAUCCCACCUGGGGAGU
RNAcentral lists this ribosomal RNA (352 nucleotides) under uncultured bacterium. RNAcentral's name for it is "bacterial SSU rRNA". It matches the Rfam family "Bacterial small subunit ribosomal RNA", at positions 527 to 881 of the family's 1533-position model. The record is from RNAcentral.